Molecule: ribosomal RNA, 253 nt
Filed under: uncultured bacterium
Lineage: Bacteria
Description: partial 16S ribosomal RNA
Rfam family: Bacterial small subunit ribosomal RNA
Source: RNAcentral
UACGAAGGGGGCUAGCGUUGCUCGGAAUUACUGGGCGUAAAGGGCGCGUAGGCGGCACUGUUAGUCAGGCGUGAAAGUCCUGGGCUCAACCUGGGAACUGCGCUUGAUACGGCAGAGCUAGAGGAUGGAAGAGGCUCGCGGAAUUCCCAGUGUAGAGGUGAAAUUCGUAGAUAUUGGGAAGAACACCGGUGGCGAAGGCGGCGAGCUGGUCCAUUACUGACGCUGAGGCGCGACAGCGUGGGGAGCAAACAGU